RNAcentral lists this long non-coding RNA (838 nucleotides) under Homo sapiens (human). RNAcentral's name for it is "HSALNT0153499". The record is from RNAcentral. Lineage: Eukaryota; Metazoa; Chordata; Mammalia; Primates; Hominidae.
GGUCAGGGGUCACUACCCUAACCCGGCUACUACAAGAGUCUCGAUCGUCCUCCAACCUUUCAUCUGUCCCAGGAUUAAGAUUUCACCUGAUGACACGCCCAGAAGUGCGGGAAGGACUGGCCAAGUGGAAGUCUACCACGCGAUGCUCGUGGACUGACUGAGGAGUACCCAGCCCGGAGCGCGCUCAGCCUGUGGCCGGCCUCCUCACCAAGGGGUAGGCAGGUGCCCAGAAUGCUGGAGGAUGCCCGGUAAGGGCACCCGAGUCGCCAGCGGUACCUGUCUGAAGGCGCCCACCCAUCCCCGGAAAUUUCCUAUGCACAUACAAGCUUACUGUUGAAGUCCUCUCAUCCAAUGCACUCAGAACGGGACUGUAAGUCCAGCUGCUGUGUAUCAUCACCUCAGCCCGAUUGGUCCUCGGCCACACUUCACUUCAGCUUCUGAUAGGUCCUGGGCCAAGCUAAGCAGCAUCUAUGAAUCAUUUCACCUCCUGACUGGUCCCGGGCCAAGCCGAGUCACGCAUUCGCCAAGACAGCCCCCAGACUAAGCACAUUCCUUCCCCUUCCGUCCAUAAAAACCUGGACCCCAGCCUCAUGAUGGGCACUCCCGUUCGGGACCCCCUCUCUGCUGGCAGAGAGCUUUCUUCUUUCACCUUAUUAAACUUUCACUCUAACCUCACCUUUGUGUCCGUGCUCCAUAAUCGUCUUGGAGGUGGGACAAGAACUCCAGGUGUUAUCUCAGACAACGAAAGACUGUUUCAAUAAUGUAGUAUAUAAGUGGACAAGAACUCCAGGUGUUAUCUCAGACAACGAAAGACUGUUUCAAUAAUAUAGUAUAUAAG